UGUUAAUAGACAGUUGUGAGACACCAUGUG
RNAcentral lists this non-coding RNA (30 nucleotides) under Mus musculus (house mouse). The record is from RNAcentral. Lineage: Eukaryota; Metazoa; Chordata; Mammalia; Rodentia; Muridae.